RNAcentral lists this non-coding RNA (30 nucleotides) under Homo sapiens (human). The record is from RNAcentral. Lineage: Eukaryota; Metazoa; Chordata; Mammalia; Primates; Hominidae.
UAAGAUGGGAUAUCGUGAUUAAGGAAGACA